This 7150-nucleotide long non-coding RNA is filed under the name Elaeis guineensis (African oil palm). RNAcentral describes it as "long non-coding RNA (EGUI_LNC035992)". The record is from RNAcentral. Lineage: Eukaryota; Viridiplantae; Streptophyta; Magnoliopsida; Arecales; Arecaceae.
AAAUGUUCUACUUCUCUAAACAGAUUCUUGCAAACCAAGUUAUGUUGGCUUAGAAUGUUGCUUGUGAUGGUAUUAGGAACUUGAAUUGUCCUUUCCUUUUCCGUUAUGAAUUUGGUUUGAUGGUUUGAAUUUGCCUGAUUUAAUCAAAAAUUUUGUUCAAGUGUUUCGUGAUUCAGGUCAUUGAUCCCAAAAAAAACUCUUUUCCUUUAUUACUAUGCAUCAUUUCAUGCUCGAUAAUCCAACACUAUGAUCGUUGUACGGGAUUCUAUAUUAUCUUCUCUCAUUUUCAGUAUCAAAUACAAAAUUUUGAUCUACAUACUGCAUGUAGAUUGAUCAUCGCAAAUUCAUCUACAUCAAUGGAUUAGUACAUUUUGUGGUUCCUUGUACGGGGAACUCAUGACCUUGAUGGAAAGGUUAUCAACCAACAAGCUGCACUUCUUUAGAUAGAAAUCUGAUUAAUAAAGCAUCUAAAUUACAAUAAAGAUGUUUAUAGUAAAAGGCUUUGGCUGACAUACACAAUGCCAUGGGUUUGAGUCCUUUGCGGUCACUUUAUGGAAAAGAAAUACCAAAGGGUCGGUCUGUCCUCAGUCCGCCCCUUCUAGAACCUUGGAGUGCUUGGACCAUAACAGGGUAAUUGCCCUUUUCAUAUGACAUGGUUUGUAAUAUUAGCAUGGUGAAUUAAAUCAUAUAGGAAAAAAAGGAAUAGCCAAUUUAUCUUCAAACCUAAAAGGCCAUUAUCUAGUUAUGAUCUCGGCAAUCCGGGGUUUUGGGAGAGACAAACUGGAGACAGGCCUAAGCUUUGGCAUCUUUUUUGAACAAAGUGACUAGCCCAAGGCUUGAAUCCAUGAAUCGAAUUUGUGCCAUUGUCUUGUUGUCACAAGCCUUUUACCAUUGCAUCAAGCAUUGACCCUUUAAAUUGAUCUUCAAAGUGGACAUCAUAUAGAUUUCGCUGUGCUAGUUUCCUAAAGAUUGAAGAUUUAUGCCGCAAUGGAAUUGAACAUCCAACCAUCUAGAAAAUAGUGGUUGAUGAAUUGAGUCACACUUUCGUAUCCAUUUGACAUAAAUGCAAGCCGUUAGUUUCAUCUUGGUGGCAUAAUUGUCUGUUGACUUUCGUUCACUUUAGUGUAUAUCAUUCUGUCCUUUGAUAUAUUUGUCCUAAAUAAUCAUUUUCCUUUUCUUUCAUGUCAGAAUGGUAACUUUCUUUUUUCUUUUAACUUAUUCUAGGUUAAUUCAGCCCCAUGUGAAUCACUUGAGAGGACAAACAUUUUGAAGUCAGAGUUGGCAUCACUAUCAGAAAAAAAUGCAGAAUUAAAGAAGCAGGUUAGGGAGCUAACUAUGAAACUUCAAUUGGCUGAGCAAGGAAAAGAUCAGGCUCAGAAGCAGUUUCUAGCUUUAGGAGUCCAGCCUAAAGCAGGUCCUUUUGGAACUGUCAAGAGUUUGAGAACAAAUCCAAAUGUCAUUCCCGAUGAAUCUGUGAACCCAAGAUUGGCAAAGAUACUAGAAAAGGUGGCUGUUCAGAAAGAGCUUAUAGUUGCUCUAGCAAAUUCUAAUGUAAGGGAGAUGGUGGAGACAUGGUUUGAGAAUAUCAAAAAAGUGGGUAUACCUAAUUAUCUAGUUGUAGCAUUGGAUGAUGAGAUGGAAAAUUUCUGCAAAUCUAAGGAAGUUCCUGUUUACCGAAGAAAACCUGAUGAAGGCAUAGAUUCUGUUGGAAGGACUGGUGGGAACCAUGCAGUGUCCGGAUUGAAGUUCCGCAUUUUGAGAGAAUUUUUGCAGCUUGGUUACAGUAUUCUUCUCUCAGAUGUGGAUAUUAUCUACUUACAGAAUCCGUUUAAUCAUCUCCACAGAGAUUCUGAUGUGGAAUCCAUGAGUGACGGUCACAAUAACAUGACAGCUUAUGGUUAUGAUGAUGUCUUUGAUGAGCCUAAAAUGGGAUGGGCAAGAUAUGCUCAUACAAUGCGGAUUUGGGUUUACAAUUCUGGUUUUUUCUAUAUCAGACCCACAAUUCCUUCAAUUGAGCUUUUGGAUCGUGUAGCAAGCAGGUUAUCUCGCGAAAAUGCAUGGGACCAGCAGGUCUUUAAUGAAGAGCUUUUUUUCCCCUCACGCCCAGGAUAUGAUGGGCUUCACGCAUCAAGGAGAACCAUGGAUAUGUAUCUUUUUAUGAACAGCAAAGUUCUUUUCAAGACGGUGAGAAAAGAUGCUAAUCUGCGCAAGCUAAAGCCUGUGAUUGUUCAUGUGAAUUACCAUCCAGAUAAGCUCCGUAGAAUGAAAGCUGUUGUGGAGUUUUAUGUCAAUGGAAAUCAAAAUGCACUGGAUCCUUUCCCUGAUGGUUCAGAGUAGUAUAUGGUCUCUUGCUCAGGGUUUUCACGUUUGCAAAAGCACAGGUUUUAACUGUACCUUGUAGACGUUACUUCCUGUAGGUCUGUCUAAAAAGCUUGUUGAUUGUAGUUUUCAGAAGUCGCUACCCUUGAACUUCUUAUUGAGUGCUGCUACCAGAAAUGCUUUUUUAUAAUUUAAAUACAACCCUUUUUUUACGCUCUACACUGCACUUUUUUCCCCUGGCUAAUUUGAUUUUACCGCCAAGCAAGGAAUUUAUUUGAAAGAUUUGGAUUUUACUAGCUUUUUUAUGUUUAUUUACUUGUUAGUGUUGGUUGGUGGCAUUACCAUUGAAAUAUGGCACUACCUUAUCCUUGUUUUUCUCAUCUGUCUGUGUGGAAAUGGUUCAUUGACUUGUUGAAAGAUAUUUAGCAUGAUCAGUAGCUUAGUACGUUGUUUAUGGGGUCAAGAUUCAGUACUUGUUGAAGCUUAUGUUUUGAGGAUCUGUAUAGUGUCACGCAGAGUUAUAUAAAAGUGGCAUGAUUUAGGUCUACUGCAGAAGUGGAAGGAAAGUGAAAUUUCUGCCUUGGCUCCCUCUGCAAUACAAUCAUCUGACAAGUUUUCAGUGCAUGCAACACAUGUUGGGGGACAUCCAUCUGAAUCCUACAAAUGCAGAGCAAAUGGGUAGGCUAGAUGAGUAUAUAAGCUCACUUUGUUUUUUUGGUACAUUAUAAGCUCACUUUGUUUAUACCAUGCUGAUGUCAUUGUUAUUAUUUUGGUAUGGUACAUUAUAAGUUCUUAUGUGUCUGCUUCAAAUAUUCUGGAGGACAGCGAUUCGUAAUUUAGAAGAAUGAAACAAAUUGAUUUAGCUUUGAAUUCCCCAAAAGAACUUGUCUUAGCUUGCAAACAGUGGGUAAUGCUCAGGUGGGGAGUGAAAUAGUUCAUUUUCUAAUGUUAGUUUUAAUGUUCUUGUGCAUUUAGGCAUGUCCCGUUAAGAAAAGACAGUUUGGAUCCAAAGACAAAUAUAAUAAGGGUAGUUUUAAACAUGAGAAAGAUAAAAUGUAGGACAAUCUCCAGCUCCAAAUCCCAAUUAAGUAGAGUUUGCAAUGGCUUUAUCCCACUGUCUCACCCUUCCAUCUAAGAACCGGAGUCCCUGUAGUUGAAUCUUGGGUGGUGCAUCUUCUAUGAUAUUUGAACUUGGAUAAUUAUAUUCAGGUGGGUUUGCCUCCUUUACUUUAAAAGUAAUAACGUUGUUGCAACCAGUUUAGAUUUUUAUAGAUUUCCAAGGUAUUAAGAUUCUAUAAAAAGCCUCUGACAUUUGAAUAAAUUUUGGAGAUACAAGUUCCAUUUCCUAUAAAUCCUCUCCCUGUUAAUAUAUUGAUAGAGAGAGAUAUUUGCAAUCAUUAGCAACUUUAAUGGAAAAGCAUUCCUUAGGCAACUUCGGUUAUUGAAGAUGACAAAAUGAUUUUUAACCAAAAAAAAUGUAACAAAAUGAUUUUCCUUUCCCUUGGAUUUACCUUCUUUCUCAAAACUUUGGUUACCCUCCCUAUUCUCUCUUGGUCUAUUUUCUCAAAAUUUUGAACCCUGACUCCCAUGCAAAAAGAUCUGUCAGUGCAUAAAAAGUCUCUCUCGUUUUUCUCUUUUGAUGGAUAUAUGGUUUCUUUUUCCCCCCAAACUGAAGUUCUAGAGGCAUGAAUUCAUGGUGACCCUUUUCUUCUUGGUAUUACUUUCAUUCUUCAUCAUAUUGUAAUUACUUAGUUUCAAAUUUUUGGAGACACUCCAUUCAAAAGCCAAACCGAGAAGCUCUGCUUGCGAAGCAGAGGUGUGAAAUCUAAAACAAUCCUAGUUCACAUGAUCAUUAAAUCAGUAAUGAGACAAUUGCACCUGUGAAUACAGUUUACUCAUUAUAUGGACCCAAAAAUUCUGUGCAUGCCCUUCAUGGAUAAAGACUGCUGUGCACAGAUAUACAUGAUCAUUAAAUCAGUAAUGGAUAAAUUCUCUGGGCGCGGAUCCUCUACCAAAAAGGCAGACUGCUUUCUCUUACAAAUGUUGCAAAUAUAACAUCCGAAGGAUUCAAACAGAGACCACUAGUUCUGCAGUUUCUCAUUAAAUAUUAUUCUCUGCAAUUAAAAAAAAAAAUCCAUGAUAACAUCAAAAGCUAGCAUCUUUCUAGUACGGACAAUCUGGUAUACCUGAGACGCUUCAUACUACCAUGGAGUGGCCUAUGAUUAGCAGUAAUAUAAAGACUGGAGAAGAAAAUGCAGUAGGUUCAUCUGAUCUCAGUUGUUACUUUUUUAGCUUAUGUUGUAGGCUCAAAUAUAACACCCAUUAGCCUGGCCUAAAGACUCGUAGGUUCUUUCGCCGGUUGAUGUGAUAAUGAUCCCAGCAUACAAGUUUCCCACGAUUGCAAACUAAGGAGAGUCGGAUGUAUGCAACCUUACUUCUGCAUACAAAAAUGCUAUUUUCAUAUUUUGAACCUGUUAUACCUAAGUCAUUAUAGAGCAGUCUUACCAUUGUGCCAAUGCCAGCCCUCCAAUUUAUGUGAUAAUGACACUUAAUGUAUAACACCAGGCUAAUGCAAUCUUUUGCAAUUAUCAGUUACUGCACAGAAGUCUGUCAUCCUUAUUUCUUCAAAUUGAUAACUGGUUCCUGACACAAACAAGAAGUGAUGAUUAAAUCCCUAUAUCCUCUUGAGUAUAUUUACAGCAAUGCACUACAGGCUACCAAAGCAAAAUAAUGGGUCAAAAACCUGUGGAGAGGUACAUGUAUUCCAGCAGAUCAGAGAGUAAAAGACCCAGAGUACAAUGACAAAAGGAAAAGAGUUCUUCACCUAACUCUACGCUGAGCCAUUGAAGUUUAGCAACUUCGCAUUUGGCCAACUGAAUCCUGCCAAACUAUGAGGAAGAUGACUGCUGCUUUCAGCAUCAAUUGAAUGCAUGAAUGGCGAAUCACCACUAAUAAUGUCUUCAAGGGAAGAUUUUUACUCAGCUCCUUCUGUUUCAAGCAAAAAAAUGUUCAAUCAAUACCAUGUUAAAUUUAUAUUACGCAUGAUGGUCUGAACAUAGAUAAUAGAGCCAAUGCUCUGGAACCAAAGCUCAUGUGUUAAAGGCUUUGUUGAACAUAUGUUGUUCAACUUGAGGCACCGGGGGCAGCAGAAUGCAAACAUGUUGCAGAAAAUACUUCUUAAUGCCCCAAAAAAUUGAUUUUUUACCAACCAGGAGUUGGCCCAAAGUGGUUGGAAUCUCUCCUCUGUCAGAACUCAGGCGAGGUCACAUGCUUGAAUCAUAUUAAGAUGCAUCAAAAGUAAGAUUUUAAAUCCUGUGGAACAGAACUAUUCUGAUUUUCUCAUGAAAUCAGAUGCACCACCGUCCCACCUCAUCCCGACAUUUAGAACAAUAGAUGUCUCAAGAUAUCCUGAUCAGGACGCUGGGAUGCUGGUAACUGUUCUGAUUUUCUUAUGAAACGAGAUGUACCGCCAUCCCGCUUCAUCCCGACAUUUAGGACAAUGGAUGUCUCAAGACGUCCCGAUCAGAAUGCUGGAAUGCCGGUGAGACGGUUCUAUCCAGAAAUAUGAAAUAUACCCCAUCCCGAUGUCCCAUAAGAUGUUCCAUCAGGAUCUGAAUCCUUGAUAGAUUCGUUGGGUGGAGCAAUUUAAGAUGCUUAUGCCCAAUAUAGGGGCCCUAUAUUUAAACUUUCAAGCUUAAUUUCAUUGAAAAAAAUAAAAUAAAAGAUAAAAUUAUGAAUAAAACAAGAUAAUGUCGAGUGGAGAAAGAUGGAGUGGAGUUACUAGCUGCAAGUGAUGCAUUUUCUGAAUCCAGCUUCUUGCAGUCUACAUCAAAUUGUUCAAGCUCAUGUCCGAAGUGCACUGUUCUCUGUUCAGCAUAUCCACCCUCCUCACCAAACCCUGGCAUUCUUGCCGGUGAAAAAGAACAUACUCAAAUAUAUAUAAUCAAGUCCCAAAUUUUAUUAUAGGUCCCACAGAACCACUAAGCUAGAUACAAAAAUAACAUAAGAAUCAAAGAGCACCAAGCACCACCAUUAAAGAUUGAUUCAACAUUUAAUGAAUAGACGUUUAUUUAUGGCAUUUUCGUGGGUGCAUCCUUCCUCAACAUGGGAGGAGGCUCUGGGUUUGGGUCCUGGUGGUGGGGUCGACAGAGAGAGAGAGAGAGAGAGAGAGAGAGACAAGCACGAAUGCUAAAGCCAGUCUAAAUUGGAAAAAAGAAAAUAAUAAAACAAAAAGGUUGCAUGUGCUAGAAAAUACCAUGGUAAGAGGGAAGGGGGCGAGUCCGAAUCGGACUCUUCUUCCCCGAUGGAAGAAGACCGAUUUCGAGAAGGAAUCAAUCUAAAAAGAUCGCCCCAGACUUAGAUUCUAUGCCUAUUUAUAUCUAUCCCCAUUUUCCUUUCCCAACUCAGUUUCCGAUUCCCCACCGCUGAAUGUCAUUGGACCUUUUUCCCUUCCAAUUUGUUUGACUACUGUCAUUGUGUUUGAUGGAAAAAGCCACUGAAGCAUCACUGGAAUGAGGUAAAAAGCCCCCCAUCUUCUGAUCAACCCUUUUCCCCAUCUUUUUGACUCUUGGAAUUAUGAUUUCUGAUGAGUUAAUUGUCAGAUUGCGGUGGAGAUUUAGAUGCUCUGUUUUUUCUCCCAUGUUUGAUUUGAUUUUUGGCACUGUUUACCACUGCCGGAGUUCUUGGUUACCAUUGUGGUCUGCCCUUCCGGCCACGGCAUUGUUGGCUAGAGGAGACCUCUCCUGCCUCGAGAACAUGGGGAUAAAAGAGACGAAAAAAAAAAAAAAAAAAAAAAAAAAAAAAAANAAAAAAAAAAAAGAAAAGAAAGAAA